UACAGAGGUCUCAACCGUUGUUCGGAUUCAUUGGGCGUAAAGGGUGCGUAGGCGGUCGCACAAGUCGGAUGUGAAAUCUCAGGGCUCAACCCUGAAACUGCAUUCGAUACUGCGUGGCUAGAGUGCUGGAGAGGAGACUGGAAUUUACGGUGUAGCAGUGAAAUGCGUAGAUAUCGUAAGGAAGACCAGUGGCGAAGGCGAGUCUCUGGACAGCAACUGACGCUGAGGCACGAAGGCCAGGGGAGCAAACGGG
RNAcentral lists this ribosomal RNA (253 nucleotides) under uncultured bacterium. Its description in RNAcentral is "partial 16S ribosomal RNA". It matches the Rfam family "Bacterial small subunit ribosomal RNA", at positions 524 to 776 of the family's 1533-position model. The record is from RNAcentral.